RNAcentral lists this long non-coding RNA (1373 nucleotides) under Sinocyclocheilus grahami. RNAcentral's name for it is "lncRNA (ENSSGRG00000043817.1)". The record is from RNAcentral. Lineage: Eukaryota; Metazoa; Chordata; Actinopteri; Cypriniformes; Cyprinidae.
CCGCAGAACUCAAUCAUAUAAGACACCUGCUCAACAUCAUCUGCUCCAAACUGGUCAAAUAAUGUACAAGAGUAAUACCUACACACACACACACACACACUUAAAAUGACUAUCAAUAUCAAUGUGGAAUAUUCAAGGCUUGAAUUCAACAGCCUUUGGACUAAAGAGUUCAAACACAGAAUUUCAGAAGAGCAUCAAAGAGAUGGAUAUUAUAAUUCUACAGGAGACAUGGAGCAGGGCAGACACCAUCACCCGCUGCCCACCCAACUACAGAGAAAUCAUCCUACCAUCACAAAAACUCAACACAGUCCGACACGGAAGAGACUCAGGAGGACAAAUCAUCUGGUACAAAUCACAAUUCCACAACCACAUCAACACAGUAAAGCAAGGCAAAUACUACAGCUGGCUUAAAAUCAACAAGGAACUGCUCCCAUCCAGAAAAGAUAUAUUCCUGUGUGCCAUAUACAUCCCGCCAUCAGAGUCCCCCUACUACAGCGAAGACAUGUUCUCCACAUUAGAAGAAGAGACAAGCCACUUCCAGGCCCAGGGAAACGUGCUCAUCUGCGGGGACCUGAACGCAAGAACAGGACUACAGCCGGACUUCACCGACGCACAGGGGAGCAAAUAUAUCAACAACAAACUGACGGUUAUUAAUAACACAUUCUCCCAUAUCCACAGAAAUAACCAUGAUGCUACAGUAAAUAAGAAUGGAAAAGUCCUCCUGCAGCUCUGUCGAAGCCUGGGUCUGUAUAUCAUCAACGGUAGGAUACGAGGAGACACUUUAGGGAGAUUCACAUUUUGCUCACCUCUGGGGAAUAGCACAGUUGAUUAUAUGAUAACAGACAUAGAUCCUUCAUCUCUCAGAUCAUUCACUGUCAGAGAACUAACCCCUCUGUCUGAUCACAGUCAAAUCACUGUGCAUCUCAAAAAGACAGAAAACAGCAUUAACACAAAGCCCAGUAAGCUGUACAACAUCAGAAAGCCAUACAGAUGGGCUGACAACAGCGCUGAAGAAUAUCAGAAAGCACUUAGCAGCCAAACAAUACAAGCGCUGGUAGAUAACUUUCUAAAUAACACCUAUGCUCACACUAAUGAGGGGGUCAAUCUUGCGGUCAAAGAUAUCAAUUACAUAUUUGAAAAAUCAGCAAAACAAUCCAAAUUGAAAACAAAAAAUGGAAAAAAUCAAAUACCCAAAAAUGACAAAAAUUGUUUUGAUCAGGAAUGGCAAACUAUUCGCAAAAAACUGAGAACAUUGUCAAAUCAGAAACACAAAGAUCCCAAUAAUGCAGAGCUCCGCCUUCUUUACAGUGAAACACUAAAACAAUACAAACAUACGCUCAGAACCAAAAAAGCACAAUACACCCAAAAACAAC